GACGAACGCUGGCGGCACGCCUAACACAUGCAAGUCGAACGGACUUAAAAGAGCUUGCUUUUUUAAGUUAGUGGCGGACGGGUGAGUAACACGUGAGCAACCUGCCUCUGAGAGGGGGAUAGCUUCUGGAAACGGAUGGUAAUACCCCAUAAAAUAUAAAUAUCGCAUGAUAGAUAUAUCAAAGAAAUUCGCUCAGAGAUGGGCUCGCGUCUGCUUAGAUAGUUGGUGAGGUAACGGCACACCAAGUCGACGAUCAGUAGCCGGACUGAGAGGUUGAACGGCCACAUUGAGACUGAGACACGGCCCAGACUCCUACGGGAGGGAGCAGUGGGGAAUAUUGCACAAUGGAGGGAACUCUGAUGCAGCGAUGCCGCGUGGAGGAAGAAGGUUUUCGGAUUGUAAACUCCUUUUAUCAGGGACGAUAAUGACGGUACCUGAAGAAAAAGCUCCGGCUAACUACGUG
Molecule: ribosomal RNA, 463 nt
Filed under: uncultured bacterium
Lineage: Bacteria
Description: partial 16S ribosomal RNA
Rfam family: Bacterial small subunit ribosomal RNA
Source: RNAcentral